RNAcentral lists this ribosomal RNA (509 nucleotides) under uncultured bacterium. Its description in RNAcentral is "bacterial SSU rRNA". It matches the Rfam family "Bacterial small subunit ribosomal RNA", at positions 32 to 516 of the family's 1533-position model. The record is from RNAcentral.
UAUCAACGCUGGCGGCGUGCCUCAGACAUGCAAGUCGAACGCGAAAGCUCCCUUCGGGGAGCAAGUAGAGUGGCGCACGGGUGAGUAACACGUAGGUAAUCUACCUUUGGAUGGGGAAUAACAACCGGAAACGGUUGCUAAUACCGCAUAAUGCAGCGGCACCUAAUGGUGACAGUUGUUAAAGCGGGGGAUCGCAAGACCUCGCGUCUGAAGAGGAGCCUGCGGCGGAUUAGCUAGUUGGAAGGGUAACGGCUUACCAAGGCGAUGAUCCGUAGCCGGCCUGAGAGGGCGGUCGGCCACACUGACACUGACAUACGGGUCAGACUCCUACGGGAGGCAGCAGUCGGGAAUUUUGGGCAAUGGGCGAAAGCCUGACCCAGCAACGCCGCGUGAAGGAUGAAAUCCCUCGGGAUGUAAACUUCGCAAGAACGGGAAGAAUAAGUAAGAGUUAAUAUCUCUUACGAUGACGGUACUGUUUGUAAGCUCCGGCUAACUCCGUGCCAGCAGCC